Molecule: long non-coding RNA, 569 nt
Organism: Solanum stenotomum
Lineage: Eukaryota; Viridiplantae; Streptophyta; Magnoliopsida; Solanales; Solanaceae
Exons: 3
Source: RefSeq, a predicted model, not a curated record
CUUCGAUGUCGAAGUUCAUGUACAGAGGUUCCUCUUCAUCGAUGAUGGUGAAAUUCAAUAUCAGAUGAACUCAGAGCUAUGAAUCCACAGUUGAAUACCUCAUCGCCAUCGAUUUAAAGCUUUUCAUCCUAAAAGCUCUAUUAGGAAUUACGUAAGCUUCCUGUACAGUUACUCUAACUGAUUGUCGAUGCAUCGAGCCUUUCUUCUUCAGUAGCCAAAAGAGAUCGAGAACAAGAUAAACUUCACAAUAGGAGGCGAAGUUCGCGAUCAGACUUGGGGCCCAGGUAGGCUAGGCUAAACUGAGUAGUUAGAGUUUUCUUCUAUUUCAUCAAUAUUUUUGUAGAUUGACGGUAGGUUUCAUGCCUGGACCUUUGGGCACAGAGUCUAGAUGGUUGGAAACGUGUUAGUUAUUGCUGUUUUUAGGACAAAAAUAUAUUGGGUAGGUAAUGAUUAUUCUCAGAAAUAAGAAGGAAUUCUCAGAAAUGAAUGUGUACUCAUAAUGGGGUCCAACAUCGACCUUUUGUUGUAAUGAUUGAUGUAUAGUGUAAUCUUAAGUUUUAAGAAAUAAU